GCCCGCUCAGAAACUCAAAGGAAUUGACGGGGCCCGGCACAAGCGGUGGAGUAUGUGGUUAAUUCGAUGCAACGCGAAGAACCUUACCUGGUCUUGACAUCCCGGAGACCCUUAGGAAACUAGGGGGUGCUUCCAUCUGGAAGAAUCUGGAGACAGGUGCUGCAUGGCUGUCGUCAGCUCGUGUCGUGAGAUGUUGGGUUAAGUCCCGCAACGAGCGCAACCCUUGCCUUUAGUUGCCAGCAGUUCGGCUGGGCACUCUAAAGGGACUGCCGGUGUUAAACCGGAGGAAGGUGGGGAUGACGUCAAGUCCUCAUGGCCUUUAUGACCAGGGCUACACACGUACUACAAUGGCCGAUACAAAGGGCAGCGACACUGCGAGGUGAAGCCAAUCCCGUAAAAUCGGUCUCAGUCCGGAUUGGAGUCUGCAACUCGACUCCAUGAAGUUGGAAUCGCUAGUAAUCGUGGAUCAGCAUGCCACGGUGAAUACGUUCCCGGGCCUU
RNAcentral lists this ribosomal RNA (500 nucleotides) under uncultured Desulfobulbus sp. Its description in RNAcentral is "bacterial SSU rRNA". It matches the Rfam family "Bacterial small subunit ribosomal RNA", at positions 887 to 1382 of the family's 1533-position model. Lineage: Bacteria; Pseudomonadati; Thermodesulfobacteriota; Desulfobulbia; Desulfobulbales; Desulfobulbaceae. The record is from RNAcentral.